UAACUAGGGGAGUCCCAGGCUGGUUAGUAUUACUCAUUCGGGUUACUCACUGGCCAGUUGUCUUUUCAGAUAGAUUAUAUUAGUUGUAACUAUUUUAUACAGAAAUAUGCAUUUUAAAUAUAGAGAAACAACAAAUAAGCGAAGCCCAGAAGGAAAUUGUUUGAAAUGAAUGAAUUCUCUUUUUCUGUUUUUUUGUAUUCGUAUUCUUUUUGUAUUUGUUUUCUCUUCUUCUUUUCUCUAGUUUAUGAAAGACUCUCUGAGCACAACGCCACCCUGUGGUCAGACAGUAUACUAACUGGUUGUAUCAGCAUGCUAACCUAACAAACAUUUGUGGAAGAGUUACUUUACUUUAUGACUGCAGUGUUCUUUGGUCAACAAACAAAUUGAGCUUCGCUGCUUAACUGUGUAGUGAACCCACAGUGAUUGGUGUGCCUGCCUUGCAAGCAGAGAGUCCUGGAUUCAAUUCCCAGAUGAACCACCUUAUCCCUAAUGGCGCCACCUCUGCUCCUCUACUUUGUAAAUGGAGAGUCGACCCACGCCUCCGCACGGAGACCCUCUCUCAACCCGACAUGCCAGACUACAGUCCUCCUCCGGAGCCCGUGGGCUACUGAUGCGGUUCCCGCAGUGGCAUUCAGCUCC
This is a long non-coding RNA of Cynoglossus semilaevis (tongue sole), 639 nucleotides long. RefSeq lists it as uncharacterized. NCBI's taxonomy places the organism in Eukaryota, Metazoa, Chordata, Actinopteri, Pleuronectiformes, Cynoglossidae. The transcript has 3 exons. The record is from RefSeq and is a predicted model, not a curated record.